AUUAAUAGAGCUUGACAACAACAUUCAAUGACAACACACGAUGUAGCUUGAUCUUAGCACUCGACGGUAACACAAGUGGAGCUUGACAAUAGUACUUGACAACAACACAUAGUGGUACAAGCGACAUUGAUAGUGACAAUGACCAAGUGGUUGAAGAGGAGAAUUGUCGUCGAGGUUAGCAUUUCUUUCAACUACUGUAGUGGUACGAACCAUUUUAUU
RNAcentral lists this long non-coding RNA (219 nucleotides) under Vigna radiata. RNAcentral's name for it is "long non-coding RNA (VRAD_LNC000048)". Lineage: Eukaryota; Viridiplantae; Streptophyta; Magnoliopsida; Fabales; Fabaceae. The record is from RNAcentral.